CCUACGGGUGGCAGCAGUGAGGAAUAUUGGUCAAUGGGCGGAAUCCUGAACCAGCCAAGUAGCGUGCGGGAUGAAGGCCCUACGGGUUGUAAACCGCUUUUGCACGGGGACAACACCCUCCACUUGUGCAGGUCUGCAUGUACCCUGCGAAUAAGGGCCGGCUAACUCCGUGCCAGCAGCCGCGGUAAUACGGAAGGCCCGAGCGUUAUCCGGAUUCAUUGGGCUUAAAGGGAGCGUAGGCGGGCCUUCAAGUCAGCUGUAAAAUCGCGGGGCUCAACCCCGCCCCGCAGUUGAAACUGGAAGACUGGAGUUGGCGACAGGCAGGCGGAAUUCGUGGUGUAGCGGUGAAAUGCAUAGAUAUCGCGAGGAACCCCGAUUGCGAAGGCAGCGUGCCGGGGUGCGACUGACGCUGAGGCUCGAAGGUGCGGGGAUCGAACAGGAUUAGAUACCCGUGUAGUC
RNAcentral lists this ribosomal RNA (459 nucleotides) under uncultured bacterium. RNAcentral describes it as "partial 16S ribosomal RNA". It matches the Rfam family "Bacterial small subunit ribosomal RNA", at positions 338 to 795 of the family's 1533-position model. The record is from RNAcentral.